UACGGAGGAUGCGAGCGUUAUCCGGAUUUAUUGGGUUUAAAGGGAGCGUAGGCGGGUUGUUAAGUCAGUUGUGAAAGUUUGCGGCUCAACCGUAAAAUUGCAGUUGAUACUGGCAGUCUCGAGUUCAGACGAGGUAGGCGGAAUAAGUUAAGUAGCGGUGAAAUGCUUAGAUAUAACUUAGAACUCCGAUAGCGAAGGCAGCUUACCAGACUGCGACUGACGCUGAAGCACGAGAGCGUGGGUAGCGAACAGG
Molecule: ribosomal RNA, 253 nt
Filed under: uncultured Odoribacter sp.
Lineage: Bacteria; Pseudomonadati; Bacteroidota; Bacteroidia; Bacteroidales; Odoribacteraceae
Description: partial 16S ribosomal RNA
Rfam family: Bacterial small subunit ribosomal RNA
Source: RNAcentral